GAUGAAGAACGCAGCGAAAUGCGAUAAGUAAUGUGAAUUGCAGAAUUCAGUGAACCAUCGAAUCUUUGAACGCACAUUGCGCCCGGCAGUAAUCUGCCGGGCAUGCCUGUCCGAGCGUCAUUUCUGCCCUCGAGCGAGUCCAGCAUCUAGGUGCUGGGCCCGCCCGGCGUUGGGGCACUACGGGAGGCCCUGUGCUGUCCCCCGUAGGCCCCGAAAUGAAGUGGCGGUCCUGCCGCGGCGCCCCCUGCGUAGUAUAACAGCUCGCUUCGGGACCCGGUGGAGGCCUGCCGUCAAACCUUACUCUCUAAGUUUGACCUCGGAUCAGGUAGGGUUACCCGCUGAACUUAAGCAUAUCAAUAAGCGGAGGA
Molecule: unclassified non-coding RNA, 368 nt
Filed under: soil metagenome
Description: partial contains 5.8S ribosomal RNA, internal transcribed spacer 2, and large subunit ribosomal RNA
Rfam family: 5.8S ribosomal RNA (bases 1-120)
Source: RNAcentral